Molecule: long non-coding RNA, 874 nt
Filed under: Rattus norvegicus (Norway rat)
Lineage: Eukaryota; Metazoa; Chordata; Mammalia; Rodentia; Muridae
Description: long non-coding RNA NONRATT002224
Source: RNAcentral
AUGUAAUAAUUUCUUUAGAAAUAAAUGUAGUCUUAGCACUCAUCAAAGAAUGCAUACAUUAGAGGAUAUUUACAAAUGAAGCAAAUGAGACAAACACUUCACCAAGAAAGAUCAUCUUAGAACUUGUCAAAGAUACACACAGGAGAGAGACCAUUCAAAUGUAAAUGUUCAGGUCUUUUACUGUUAGCUCAUCUCUGACAAUAUAUCAGAGAAUAGAUACAAGAAAGAAAUCUCACAAAUGUAACACAAGGAAAGAUCUUUACCUGAAAAUAAGGUCUAACAAAAUAUCUGGAAAUUUAUAAUGGGGGUAGGGGAGGAGAUUCCACCAGAAAAUGUGGCAUGCGUUUUACCCAAGUGAAUUCUUUGCAACACUUGAGGCUGUUAUGAAUAUGAGGAACUUGUUAAAGCAUUUAAGUAAUAUUCAAAUAUUAGAAAUCACGAAGUAUUUUUGCUAGAGAAACUCUGAAAAUGUGAGGAUAAAGGAAAUUUUUCAAAUUGUUCACUAUUAAGUAUUUCAUAAUGCACACAAAGUAGAGAACCCAGAGAAUUUGGUAUUGUGUAACACUUUCGUGGAGACUGAAAUAAUCCAUUGCAAAGGAAAUCUGAUUAUACACGGAUAAUACACGUCUAAAAAUGAAAUGACAUCCAUAGCACUCUGUAUGUUUAACUCAAAUGAAGAAACACAGACACAAACUGAGCAACCAAAAUGGAAUGUUCUGUCCAUGUGCCUGUAGAUGCACAGAUGAGUGUCAAGUAUCCAUAAUCUUUAUCAUAUGCUGGUUCCAAGUUUCAGGAUAGCAGCUGUCUUUGAGUCUCUUGAGCUUCUUCCCCAUAGUCCUGUAUAUAACUUCAAUAAAUUUCAUUGGUUGAACAA